RNAcentral lists this ribosomal RNA (368 nucleotides) under uncultured organism. Its description in RNAcentral is "bacterial LSU rRNA". It matches the Rfam family "Bacterial large subunit ribosomal RNA", at positions 2099 to 2465 of the family's 2925-position model. The record is from RNAcentral.
CUUUACUGUACUCUGCUAUUGGGUUUCGGUCACGCGUGUGUAGCAUAGCUGGGAGGCGUUGAUCCCCUACUGCAAGGUAGGGGGGAGCCGUCAGUGAAAUACCAGUCUCGUGUUAUUGGAAUUCUAACCUGAGCCCGUGAAACCGGGACGGGGACAGUGGCAGACGGUCAGUUUGACUGGGGCGGUUUCCUCCCAAAUGGUAACGGAGGAGUGCGAAGAUUCCCUCAGCAUGGUUGGCAAUCAUGCGUAGAGCGUAUAGGUAUAAGGGAGUUUGACUGCGAGACCUACAAGUCGAGCAGGUGCGAAAGCAGGCCUAAAUGAUCCGGUGGUUGCUCGUGGUAGCGCCAUCGCUCAACGGAUAAAAGGUA